AACGAACGCUGGCGGCAUGCCUAACACAUGCAAGUCGAACGAGACCUUCGGGUCUAGUGGCGCACGGGUGCGUAACGCGUGGGAACCUGCCCUUAGGUUCGGAAUAACUCCCCGAAAGGGGUGCUAAUACCGGAUAAUGUCUUCGGACCAAAGAUUUAUCGCCUUUGGAUGGGCCCGCGUUGGAUUAGCUAGUUGGUAGGGUAAAAGCCUACCAAGGCGACGAUCCAUAGCUGGUCUGAGAGGAUGAUCAGCCACACUGGGACUGAGACACGGCCCAGACUCCUACGGGAGGCAGCAGUGGGGAAUAUUGGACAAUGGGCGAAAGCCUGAUCCAGCAAUGCCGCGUGAGUGAUGAAGGCCUUAGGGUUGUAAAGCUCUUUUAACCGGGAUGAUAAUGACAGUACCGAGAGAAUAAGCGCCGGCUAACUCCGUG
Molecule: ribosomal RNA, 433 nt
Filed under: uncultured bacterium
Lineage: Bacteria
Description: partial 16S ribosomal RNA
Rfam family: Bacterial small subunit ribosomal RNA
Source: RNAcentral